Molecule: long non-coding RNA, 221 nt
Organism: Haliotis rubra (blacklip abalone)
Lineage: Eukaryota; Metazoa; Mollusca; Gastropoda; Lepetellida; Haliotidae
Exons: 3
Source: RefSeq, a predicted model, not a curated record
CAUUGUACCCAUGUGGUGAUUCGAACCCGGGUCUUCGGCUUGGGAGAUGGGGUAAGUAUAUGGUGCAAUUACACUUUCUUUUGGGGAGUAGAGGUGGGUCAGGGUGUGGGUGUGGAUGUGGGUGUGGAUGUGUGAUUGUGGGUCAGGGUGGGGUGUGGAUGUGGGUGAGGAUGUGGAUGUGGAUGUGAGGAUGUGGGUGUGUGAUUGUGGGUCAGGGUGGU